Pantherophis guttatus is the source of this 719-nucleotide long non-coding RNA. RefSeq lists it as uncharacterized. Lineage: Eukaryota; Metazoa; Chordata; Lepidosauria; Squamata; Colubridae. The record is from RefSeq and is a predicted model, not a curated record.
UAAGGUGAUAAAAGACUUUUGGGAGAUGUCAUACACUGACAUAAGAAAAAAGCUGAUUGACAGGUGGAUCAGCCUCCCGGAAUACCCCCCCAUCAGCUGUUUCCAGAGAAGCAAAAGAAGCUAGAUCUGUCUGCAGAAAUGCAUACAAAUGCAUUCGGUAACCUCCAUGCUUGCCUUUUGAGAAAGAUCAAGUACUGAAGCCUAGCUGGUACACUAGCUGCUUGGAUUCUGAAGCUAACUGCAUUGCAGGAGAGAAGAGACAGUAAGAAUCUGCAUGAAUUUCAAGAAAUACUUGACAACAGCAAUAAAUGACAAGAAAUAGGCAACAGCAACCAAGAUUAAAGAGGAAAGUAUGAGUCCAGAAAAAUCCUGGAUGAGGCUGCAUGCAGGCACAUGAGAAACUAAAAAGCAGUGGGCAACACUUCAGCAAAUUGCCAAUUUCCUUUAGAUGUGAUUCAAGGACUGAUAUUAGCGCUAAAACUGAAGGAAAGAAUAUACCAUCUAAACUCCUGAAGAAAAAGUAGGAUUGUUUUAUUCUUCAAACUUUUAAUGUGAUUAUUUUACUCCAUCUUUUUCCACACCAUCUUAAGAAGCUAUAUUUGAAUGUCAAAACUAUGAAGAACAAAAAAUCUACUCAGCCUUGAACCAAUCAGGUCAUCCUACAAUAAAGCCAUGGGAAAAUAAAUUGCAUAGCAGAACAUGUCCUGCACUAAUGCAAA